AGCGAACGCUGGCGGCGUACUUAACACAUGCAAGUCGAACGAGGAUCAUCGGUGUAGCAAUACAUCGGCGGUCCUAGUGGCGUACGGGUGAGUAACACGUGGGCAACCUGCCCUCGAGCUCGGGAUAACCUUUCGAAAGGAAGGCUAAUACCGGAUACGUUCCUCGGGUCGCGAGACCUGGGGAGGAAAGGUGGCGCAAGCUACCGCUCUUGGAGGGGCUCGCGGCCUAUCAGCUAGUUGGUGAGGUAACGGCUCACCAAGGCUAUGACGGGUAGCUGGUCUGAGAGGACGACCAGCCACACGGGAACUGAGACACGGUCCCGACUCCUACGGGAGGCAGCAGUGGGGAAUUUUCCGCAAUGGGCGCAAGCCUGACGGAGUGACGCCGCGUGGGGGACGAAGGCCUC
RNAcentral lists this ribosomal RNA (407 nucleotides) under uncultured bacterium. RNAcentral's name for it is "bacterial SSU rRNA". It matches the Rfam family "Bacterial small subunit ribosomal RNA", at positions 28 to 418 of the family's 1533-position model. The record is from RNAcentral.